RNAcentral lists this ribosomal RNA (624 nucleotides) under uncultured Inocybe. RNAcentral describes it as "eukaryotic LSU rRNA". The stretch from base 225 to 378 matches the Rfam family "5.8S ribosomal RNA". The record is from RNAcentral. Lineage: Eukaryota; Fungi; Basidiomycota; Agaricomycetes; Agaricales; Cortinariaceae.
GACCUGCGGAAGGUCAUUAUUGAAUAAGCUUGAACAGGCUGUUUUGCUGGCCCUCUGGGGCAAGUGCACGCUUGUCGUCUUUAUUUCUCCCCAACUGUGCACAUAUUGUAGACCCUGGAUUGAGGAUUGCACUGUGUGCUUUCCUUGCAUUUUUUUUCCAGGUCUAUGUUGUUUUACAAUCUCAGAAUGUUGUCAGAAUGUCGGAUUGGAAAUAAUGAAAAUACAACUUUCAGCAAUGGAUCUCUUGGCUCUCGCAUCGAUGAAGAACGCAGCGAAAUGCGAUAAGUAAUGUGAAUUGCAGAAUUCAGUGAAUCAUCGAAUCUUUGAACGCAUCUUGCGCUCCUUGGUAUUCCGAGGAGCAUGCCUGUUUGAGUGUCAUCACAUUCUCAACCACAACAAAAUUCUUCUUUUGGUGUGGCUUUGGAUAUGGGGGAUUUCUUUUUUUGCAGGCUUCUGAAAAAUAAAGUCGGCUCCCCUGAAAUGUAUUAGUGGUAUCUGAGGCAGGAGACUACUAUGGGUGUGAUAAAUCUAUCUAUGCCUUGGUACAACUGCUAUGCCGCUUCUAGCGAGAGUGCAUUUGACAAAUUUGACCUCAAAUCAGGUAGGACUACCCGCUGAACUUAA